UGAUAAUUAGUUUAAAAAAAACAAGUGAUUUCGACUCACUAGACUAUGAACAUACUCAUAAUUAUCAA
This 68-nucleotide transfer RNA is filed under the name Pteronotus personatus (Wagner's mustached bat). RNAcentral's name for it is "tRNA-Arg". The record is from RNAcentral. Lineage: Eukaryota; Metazoa; Chordata; Mammalia; Chiroptera; Mormoopidae.